This 497-nucleotide ribosomal RNA is filed under the name uncultured bacterium. Its description in RNAcentral is "partial 16S ribosomal RNA". It matches the Rfam family "Bacterial small subunit ribosomal RNA", at positions 28 to 507 of the family's 1533-position model. The record is from RNAcentral.
GACGAACGCUGGCGGCGUGCCUAAUACAUGCAAGUUGAGCGCUGAAGGUUGGUACUUGUACCAACUGGAUGAGCAGCGAACGGGUGAGUAACGCGUGGGGAAUCUGCCUUUGAGCGGGGGACAACAUUUGGAAACGAAUGCUAAUACCGCAUAAAAACUUUAAACACAAGUUUUAAGUUUGAAAGAUGCAAUUGCAUCACUCAAAGAUGAUCCCGCGUUGUAUUAGCUAGUUGGUGAGGUAAAGGCUCACCAAGGCGAUGAUACAUAGCCGACCUGAGAGGGUGAUCGGCCACAUUGGGACUGAGACACGGCCCAAACUCCUACGGGAGGCAGCAGUAGGGAAUCUUCGGCAAUGGACGAAAGUCUGACCGAGCAACGCCGCGUGAGUGAAGAAGGUUUCCGGAUCGUAAAACUCUGUUGGUAGAGAAGAACGUUGGUGAGAGUGGAAAGCUCAUCAAGUGACGGUAACUACCCAGAAAGGGACGGCUAACUACGUG